RNAcentral lists this long non-coding RNA (8125 nucleotides) under Pelobates cultripes (western spadefoot toad). Lineage: Eukaryota; Metazoa; Chordata; Amphibia; Anura; Pelobatidae. The record is from RNAcentral.
GAGCCUGACCGGGAAGGAAGAUGGCCGCAUAGCGCGCAAACUCCCGCCAUCGGGCGGCAACAACAGCUACUAAAUAAACAACAACCUGCACACAGACCCCCUAACAUAUCGGCACACCCGCCAGGACACCCGCGCCAACCUACUGGCAAGGGUGGAAAUCGUAAAAAGCGCGAUCAAACACCCUCGGUGGCCUCAUUGUUCCGGCCCCAGCGCCGUCCAGCGCCAUUUUCCCCACAGCAGGCAGAUGAUUCAGACUCAGAUCAGAGUGAGGCAACAGCCUCAGCAGCAGCCCCACUGACAAAGCGAGACCUGCAACUUUUACUAAGGGAAGCAGUCACAGAUAUAAAGAGACACAUGGCAGCAGAGCUGGAGAAGCAAUUACACUGCAUGAAGGCAGAAAUAGCAGACCUGGGAGAAAGAACAGGUCAGGUGGAGCAGAGAGCAGAUGAACUCCUGGAUACCUUACAGGCACAGGAGGCAGACAUCACCACACUGAGAACCAGAGUGGAUAUACUGGAAACAGGUAUGGAAGACCUAAACAACCGCUCGUGGUGUAAUAACAUAAGGAUAAGAGGCCUCCCUGAGACUGUAACGCCAGACAUAUUGCCCUCUACGUUGCGUGAACUCUUCAUGUCUCUCCUCUCUGACGCAACACCACAAGACCUGACUAUAGACCGGGCACACAGGGCACUGAAGCCCCCCAGCCAAAACUAGUCAGCACCCAGAGAUGUAAUAGUGCGCCUACACUACUUCACUGCUAAGGAGGCCAUCAUGGCUGCCACGCGGAGAAUACCACCAAAAUUUGACGCCACAAUGACAUCUGCAAUUUUACCAGGACGUGUCACCCAUCACCCUUGCCAAGCGCAGAGAACUCAAACCACUCACCAAUGCCCUGGCACAAGCAAACAUUGCAUACCGCUGGGUGCACCCAUUUAAACUCCUAGUCCGCCAGCAAGACACCACCCACGUCCUCCAAGACAUAUCCAGGAUGGCAUUCUUCGCGGCAACACUGGACAUCCGAAUUCCUGAGGCACUGGCCAGAUCUACGAACCCAAUGACCAGCACCAGAACUCCACGGACACCGCUCUGGGAAAAACCACAACAACACCAGAACCAGCCAUCCAAAUGACAACCCAUCCGGCAAGCCCAAGACCAUGGACCAUGAACACACCAAAGCCGGUACUCUUUGGGCACAACGGAGUUCCUGCAGGGACCAAGCCCUGCGGCGGAGUGGCUACAAAGCCACCAACCACCCUGACAAAAGAACUCACUAACAUAUCCUUUUACUAUAAAUGCAGCUACACAUUUAUUAACCAAGCUUAGGGAACCGACUAGAUCUGAAUAACGGGACUUUACUACCUAACCUAGGGGAAGGGAUCUGGGUGGAGGGGACAGGAUGUAGCAUAGAACAGCUGGAGGAAGGAGAACGCAGGGGAGGGUGGCACGUUUGGGUGCAGGGGAGGCGGGCGGGAUGGAGGUGUGUGAAAAUGUAUUUAUUAUGGGAGACGAAUGCACACUCCAACACCGACCCACGUAGGACCUCAAACCCACCACACACUAUCGGGGCCCAGAACAGAAACUGGGGACCCAUGCCAACCACCCCGACCUAUCAGCAGCCCCCGACACCCAAUGGUGAGGCCCGGGACAGAUCCACCACACCCCUAGCGUGCAGACCCUAACCUAAACCUGCCCAUAGUGGGACGCACCAUGGGGACCCCCACACGAUGCCCCAUAAUACACAGGACACAAGGCGCAAAUGUCACCCGAGUUGGGAUGAACCCGCGCACCCCACACCACCAUGCCUGGCAAGAACAUUAAGACCAGGCAGUUAUUAUUAUUGUUGUUGUUAUUAUUACCGUUAUUGGUUACAUGUUUUAUGUUGGUCACACUUGGUCUCACUAAGGGGAAACAAGCCAGGCUCCCUAACAGGACCCCCAAAAGCCAUAGGGGACAGUUGGGCGGGCAGAUCCAAAACCCAGACGCAACACAACCAAUCACACCACCUAGCCUAACAUGCAUCUCCAUAAACUGUAAAGGGCUAAAUAACCCCACAAAGCGACACAGACUUAUGCGAUGGGCCAACUGCACCACAGCAGACAUUAUCCUCUUACAGGAAACACACUACUCAGCAAAGUGCCCCUUCCCCCUCCUGAGCCGCCACUUCAAGGCCUGCCACUUAGCUUACUCAGACACGGGUAAACACAAUGGAGUGGCGAUCCUUUUGCAGAAAUCUUGCCCCCUACAGGUCACUUCCACCAACAAAGACCACCACAGACGCUACCUAACUAUAAUGGCACAAUAGGACCAUCCAAAUACGCUAUCACAACCAUAUAUGCCCCGACAAUAUCGGAACCCGAAUUCUGUCCCACCUUGCAAACCCACCACAGCCUCCACCCAAGUCACCAUAAACUCAUAGGAGGCGACUUCAACGCCACCAUCACGCCAACAAUAGACUGACCACCGCACUCAAACACACAAACCCAUCCAUCCAGAUCGGACAAACUCAUGGCAGACUUCAUCUCCAAAACCCAAUUAAUCUUCAUCUCCAAAACCCAAUUCAUCUCCAAAACCCAAUUAACCCAACUACACAAGACUACACAUUCUACUCCAACCCACACAACAGCUAUUCCCGCAUAGAUUAUUUCUCCCCAUCUCUCCUCCCAAUCACGACAGCAAUCUCAAUCGGAGACAUAACUUGGUCCGAUCACGCAGAAAUCUCCAUAACAUUCCAACCACCACACAUAUCCAGACCUUGGUCUUGGAGACUCAACCCACUCCUACUGCACGAUCCACAAACUGUACAACAAGUUAAGUCUGAACUCAGAAACUACUUCACCACGAACAAGGACUCAGUCCAGUCACAAGCGGUCCUGUGGGCAGCCCAUAAAACAGUACUCAGAGGUGCUCUCAUCAGCAUAGCUACUGCACACAAGAAGAAAACGUUCUUAAUGAAAUUAAAACUCUAGAAGCCAAACAGAAACACCUACCCCCGACCUCACCACACAAAUCCAACAGAAAAGGCAAACCCUGAAGACCGCAAUGACAACAGAUGCUACUAGAGCCCUCCAAUGGACACGUCAAAUGUUCUAUGAAAAAUCCAAUAAAGCUGACACCCUCCUCGUAUGCAGAUUACGUAAGCGUACCCAGGCCAAACAGACACGUCACAGACAUACCGGCAAAAAUUGCAGAGACGUUCCAAAAAUAUUUCUCUAACCUCCAUGACCACUCCCCACAACACAGACAAAGCACCUACAAUCUGGCGGAUCAUAUCCACACCUUCCUAGAACGAAUUAAACUACCCACCUUGCAGGGCGACGCACUCACACAACUCUCCACGGAAAUCUCAGAAUGGGAAGUGGCAACCUCGAUUGGAACCACCAAACCCAACAAAAGCCCAGGACCAGACGGAUACUCGGGCGUUUACUACAAAAUAUCUGCCUCCUACCCAAGCCCAAAAAACCCCUAUCAGACCCAGACCAUAACAGACCCAUAUCCUUGUUGAACGUGGACGUGAAGAUAUUUACAAAAUUACUCUCCAACCGGCUCUUGCCAUUCCUCACCAAACUGGUCCACCCAGACCAGGUGGGCUUCAUUCCCACCCGACAAGCCAGCGACAACACCAGGAGAAUGCUCGACCUGGUCUGGGUGGCCAAUCGACGCUCUACCCCGACCCUUCUCUUAUCCCUGGACGCUGAGAAGGCUUUUGACAGACUUCUCUGGCCAUUCCUCUGCGCCACAUUGGAGAAAUUUGGCUUCCCUAAACUUCCCCAAGAUGCAUUUAAAACGAUCUACACCAAUCCCACGGCCAACCUCCUCAUACCCAAUACAAACCCACCCACCUUCUCCAUAUACAACGGAACGAGGCAGGGCUGCCCCCUGUCCCCCAUCCUAUUCGCCCUCUCCCUCUAACCCCUAAUGCAUCUCAUUCGCACCACACCAUCGAUUGCAGGCAUCAAAGUACGUACACAAACAUACAAAGCAGCUUAUGCCGAUGACCUUUUACUAUCACUCACAGACCUGCUGCACUCCCUUUCUCCACUCCUCCAACUCAUACAGGAAUAUUUUGAAGUAUCUGGGUACAGGCUGAACCUAGAUAAAACCGAAGCACUCAUGCUAAAUAUAGAAGCACACUACAGAUACAUAAUACAAAACACAUACUCGUUCCGAUACAAUACCUCACACAUCUCAUACCUAGGAAUCGCUCUACCAGCGGAACUACACUACACAUACGCCCUAGCUGGAACACGACCUCUUUGGCUUCGACUUCCCCUCCCUCUACCUCUGGGUACCAAGAAAAUCUCGACCAAUACCACCCCCUACACCUCCAAUGCUAGCGAACUCCAUUACCGUAUGGGACAAACUCACUAAGAAAUUCCCAAUCACCAACGACCCUUCACCACUGGCCCCGAUACUGCACAACAAAGCCUUUCAGCCAGGCAUGAACCCCAAAGACUUUGCACACUAUGAACACAAUGACCUCUACAGGCUCUAUCAUUUCUUUGCAGGAGGGAAACUAAUACAGUACAACGAGCUCCCGCUACCACACCAACAAUACAACACCCAUGAUUUCUUUAGAUACAUACAACUUAGAAGCUUCCUAGAACUCCCAGAAAACACAAAAGCAGCCACCACAAAACUCACACCUUUCGAAAGAACUUGCAUACACAACCCAACCCACAAGGGACAGAUCACAAAUAAUUACAUACUAUUGAUCACUAACCAACCACCGGGAGCACUAGCCUAUGUGGCAGCUUGGGAGAGGGACCUGGGGCCACCAGAUGACCUGAUGGACUGGCAGGACAUAUGGGAGGCCACGACAUCCAUAUGUGUAAACCAUAAAGAACAGGCCCACAAAACAAUGCUGAGACAGUACCUAACACCCACACGGCUAUAUCACAUGGGAAGGGCAGAGUUGGACCUAUGUUGGAAGGGAUGCGGACACAGGAGCACAUAUAUACACCACAUAUAUGACCUCCUCCACACGGACAUUCUCAUAGACCCCUGGAUAUGGUUCCUCUCCAAACCCUGGGGACCCCUGACCAGAGCACAAAACAAACUCACGAACAGACUGGCCCUAGCAACCAGACGGGCAAUAACAGAAUUCUGCACCCCAAACAUACCCACACUAGACAUAGUCAUACGCAAAACCAGGGAGGCCGUGGAAAUGGACAGGCUCUCAGCCAAGAUCCACGAAACAUCACAAAACUUCUAUAAGAUACGGGACCCAUGGUUAAAUGAACCCUCCCUGUCAUAAAUAAACAAACCUCAAAGUAUAACAACCCCGGCACCACUAGAAUGCUAAAUUGGGCUCCACACCCACAAACCUAAGGGACAGGAGACCCUAGCCAUGUGGUCAAAAAGAGACCCCCGGCCCACAGCUGACAGCCCACGAAGGAGCCUAGAUGGGAGACUCACAAGCAGAUACAACACACAAGACCCCCUCCAACAAGCCCCUAUGGCCCGCAAUGGGCAGACCCAAACUGCCCACACAUGAAAGCCGAAACUACAAACUGGAACCCCCACAACACUACCAAGAACUACAACUUAACCCCUGAGACCAAGGAAUUGAACCAUUUGUACCUGUAUUUCUACGAUUGUAUAAUUUUAUAAAUUUUAUUACUUUGUAUAAUUCCAUUACUUUGUAUGAUUUUAUACCUUGUUUUUGAUAAGUUGAUAUACAAUAAGGCAAAACAGGAAGCAGACGUACAGAAAGACAUUGACCAAUAGAACUCCGCACACCUACGUAGGCACACGGAAAAAACAACGGGCAGAGAGCAAGAAACACAACCACUGAAUACAGCACAAAACUUACCAAGACACACCACCAGGUCUGACAGCACAAACUCGACAACAAAGGUCACAGCAGACAACGAUAGAAUCAGUGGAAAUGUAUUAACAUCUGCAUCCGCACUGACUAACUAUGCGCACCCAAUGUAUCUGUAAAAUAUGCCUUUUUCCAAGUGAAACUCAAUAAACACAGAAUGUUUUUAAAAAAAAAAUCAUUGUAUAUAGUAGAUUUAAAAAAAAGAUUUAUAUUGAGAAAAACUUCAUAUCUAAAAAAACACAUUACAAAAAUAAAAUGUAUUGCAUUGUUUUGUGGGGUGGGGGGCAAUUAAAACUACAUAUAGCACAUAAUAAACAGGAAAAGCAGCCUUCCAGCUCCUAGCCCAUCAUCAUUACAUAUCAAGUUCCUUGUGCUCCUCUGUCUACACUCCAGUAAUCCCAUCCCAGAGCUUUGGCUAUAUUGUUUGCACCUACAUUGAUGCUGCUGCUUGAAUUUUUAUGCCCACAAAAAUAUAUAUAUAAAAAAAGGAAACAUGACGUAUAAUAUGCCUCACAUAAUGUUUCAACAAAUUCUGCAAUAACCAACACUUAGGUGUUUGGAAGGGGAGAAUUUGAUAAAAAUAAAAUACACAAACUGAUACAAUGACUUGUCGUUGAGAUAAGCAUCAUGGCUGCUCCCCUAACUGCCAAAAUGGAGGUAAUUCGGGGGGGCGGGGCCUGACUGUCACGGAGGGAAGACGUGCCUAGCUAAAGCUCCACAGAAACCCUUGUAAAAAUGGCUAAAAUGGCACCUCUAAACCACAACAAACAGCAGCACACGACCCCAAGCGAAAUAACAACCCUCUACCCUAAUGGUGAACCCGUGAUGCGGCCCAUGAGGGGACAGCAGACAGCAGACUAUACCCGCAAGGGCAUGCGGCCUGGCGUGCACCGGGCAGGAGAGGCGGCCGAUCCCCCAGCCUGGAGCCACAUGGAAACCAACUGCCACAAGCAGAUGCCCCGCAACCCCCCCCUCUGGACCGGCGGGGGUGAUCCCAGUCCACCCCUAGGGGUCACCCCCAACAGGGCGAAAAUAACUGGGGAGAUGGCUGGAGAGCCGAGCGGCCCACCUAAGAUGGCGGAGACCAGAUGGCCACCAGUCAGCCACGAGACAUUAAGACACCCCUCAUCCAACAUAGAUAAAAUCUUCCAAGAUUUCUGGCUCAAGCUAGAGCUCAGACUACAACAAGGGGCUCCAGGUCCACUCAUCUCAAACUGCCCACCCAGACAGCAGCCACCUAACCCUCGGGACCGGCCUGCAGCCCAGACAGAGCCUCACUCUAUACAGAGGCAGCGGAGGAACAAGCCUGCACCUCGCCCACGUAAGGCAGUGAAGCGACAGAAACCAAGCACUGGCUCACCCAGUUCACUCACCACCCGGAGGGCGACCCAACCUAGGCCCAGCGGCAUUACUAACCGAACCCAGCUACACCCGUUUACCCAACUACAGCUGGGCACUCACCACAUCACAGUGGAGUCCCACGGGAAUCCACAACGAGGCUCUGCACAGCCCCAAUGCGGCAUCGGGUGAACGGCCGGGGACCCAUCAACACCACGGUCCAGGAGCAGGGGGUCCUGACACGUCUCACAACGCCACAUCCUGAUCCUAGGAACAUGAUCCCCCCUACGUCAACUUACCCGGAGAGGGACUCACACCUGGGAAACCCCAGGAGACUUUCGCACACCCAAACGGUUAUAGCGAUAUAUAUUUUGGACAUUACAAGCUAAGGGGUAUACUCACCUUGCAUGUUCAGGAUUGUAUAGCCACACCAUACGAGAGACAUGUUUUAACCUGUUAAAUAAGCAUACCGUACACCCCUCCCGAAACUGCAACACCACAUACCUUAUCAUAACUCUAAGCGUAACUAAUACUCUCAUAAGUCUACCUAGCCUAGCAUUCAUGUCGAAAAGUUAAUUUGUUUAGCGUGCAAUGUGUUUAGUAUGUAAUUUAAGUAAGAAAUGCAACAUGUACUAUUGUCACAGAUGAAUAGAAAAAGCUUGAAUACUAUAAUAUGUUAAGACACAACCUAGUUCCAUCCAACCUUUUAGAAAAAUGUGCACUGUAUUCUCUUAUGCCAUGUUAUGUUCUGCUAUUGAAAGGCUUCCUGCAGCUGUUGUGGCGUAGCAAGCCAGAUUGUUCAAUUCAUGCACAAACAAAAAUCAAGAAUUUAAAAAAAAAAAAAUGGAGGUAAUUCCUGCUAUUUCAAAUGUUUUUUUUUUCUCAGUGUCAGAAAGUAACAUUGUGUCAGAAUGGAAGCAUUUUGAUUGUAUUUGCAGACAUAAAUAAAUAUUUAAAUGAAAU